RNAcentral lists this ribosomal RNA (788 nucleotides) under uncultured Lactobacillus sp. RNAcentral describes it as "bacterial SSU rRNA". It matches the Rfam family "Bacterial small subunit ribosomal RNA", at positions 28 to 776 of the family's 1533-position model. The record is from RNAcentral. Lineage: Bacteria; Bacillati; Bacillota; Bacilli; Lactobacillales; Lactobacillaceae.
GACGAACGCUGGCGGCGUGCCUAAUACAUGCAAGUCGAGCGAGCUUGCCUAGAUGAAUUUGGUGCUUGCACCAGAUGAAACUAGAUACAAGCGAGCGGCGGACGGGUGAGUAACACGUGGGUAACCUGCCCAAGAGACUGGGAUAACACCUGGAAACAGAUGCUAAUACCGGAUAACAACACUAGACGCAUGUCUAGAGUUUAAAAGAUGGUUCUGCUAUCACUCUUGGAUGGACCUGCGGUGCAUUAGCUAGUUGGCAAGGUAACGGCUUACCAAGGCAAUGAUGCAUAGCCGAGUUGAGAGACUGAUCGGCCACAUUGGGACUGAGACACGGCCCAAACUCCUACGGGAGGCAGCAGUAGGGAAUCUUCCACAAUGGACGCAAGUCUGAUGGAGCAACGCCGCGUGAGUGAAGAAGGGUUUCGGCUCGUAAAGCUCUGUUGGUAGUGAAGAAAGAUAGAGGUAGUAACUGGCCUUUAUUUGACGGUAAUUACUUAGAAAGUCACGGCUAACUACGUGCCAGCAGCCGCGGUAAUACGUAGGUGGCAAGCGUUGUCCGGAUUUAUUGGGCGUAAAGCGAGUGCAGGCGGUUCAAUAAGUCUGAUGUGAAAGCCUUCGGCUCAACCGGGGAAUUGCAUCAGAAACUGUUGAACUUGAGUGCAGAAGAGGAGAGUGGAACUCCAUGUGUAGCGGUGGAAUGCGUAGAUAUAUGGAAGAACACCAGUGGCGAAGGCGGCUCUCUGGUCUGCAACUGACGCUGAGGCUCGAAAGCAUGGGUAGCGAACAGG